Molecule: non-coding RNA, 585 nt
Organism: Meleagris gallopavo (turkey)
Lineage: Eukaryota; Metazoa; Chordata; Aves; Galliformes; Phasianidae
Source: RefSeq, a predicted model, not a curated record
UGCUGUGCCUGCCCGGGGAUUGCCCCCAGCAGGCCCAGCUGACCCUUUGCUGUCCCAUCAGCGUUGGCCGCAGCUUCAUGGAGAAGCUGGGAAUGGGCUUGCGCUGCAAGAGCAGGGAUGCCCCAGAUCAGCCCUGUGCCUGGGAUACUGAGGACUCAUCGCUUUCUCUCCUUUCUCUGGCAGAAGACCAACAUGGGAGGACAAGGAGAGCUAUGACACUCUGCACAAGACACACCAGCGCUGUGAUGUCAGCGAGUGUAUUCACACAGAAGGCAGGGAGCAAGCAGAGGAAGAGGGGCCCUGGGAGCUGCUCCUGUGCGCCUCGUGUGCUGCGCAAGGCACCCACCGGCUCUGCUCCGAUUUGAGCGGCAGCAUAAGCACCUGGGAGUGUGACAUCUGUGCUGGCGUGGGCACAGCCUCCAGUGCCGAGUCGCAGCUUGCUGGUCCCAGCACUGCCAGCCAGGAGGCGGCGGGGCCAUCUCAUAGCUCCCCAGCACCUGAUGACAGCAGAUCUGCCUCCACCAGCCAGGCAGCAUUGGAGUCAUCUCCGAGUUCCCAGGUGCCUAAGCGCAGCAGCCUGUCCAG